ACAGAGACCUCAAGCGUUAUCCGGAAUCAUUGGGCGUAAAGCGUACCGAUAGGUGGUUAAGAAAGUCAGAUGUGAAAUCUCCGAGCUCAACUCGGAAUCUGUCAUUUGAAACUUCUUGACUAGAGGAGCAAAGAGGAAGCUGGAACGAACGGUGUAGUAGUGAAAUGCGUUGAUAUCGUUCGGAACACCAAUAGCGUAGGCAGGCUUCUGGGUGCUACCUGACACUGCUAGGACGAAAGCGUGGGGAGCGAAGGGGAUUAGAUACCCCCGUAGUCCACGCUGUAAACGAUGUACAUUAGGCGCUAGGGAGUAUCGACCCUCUUUAGUGCCAAAGCUAACGCGUUAAAUGUACCGCCUGGGGAGUACGGCCGCAAGGCUA
RNAcentral lists this ribosomal RNA (379 nucleotides) under uncultured bacterium. Its description in RNAcentral is "bacterial SSU rRNA". It matches the Rfam family "Bacterial small subunit ribosomal RNA", at positions 525 to 896 of the family's 1533-position model. The record is from RNAcentral.